GAUGAAGAACGCAGCGAAAUGCGAUAAGUAAUGCGAAUUGCAGAAUCCGUGAAUCAUCGAAUCUUUGAACGCACAUUGCGCCUCCUGGUAUUCCGGGAGGCAUGCCUGUUCGAGCGUCAUCAAAAACCUCAACCCAUGAUUUAUUGUGAGUUGGUUCUGCAUUGGACUCCUUGUGGGUCCUUUGCGAAAUCCAAUGGCGAAGAGCCACGCAACCAAAGCGUAGUAUAACUAUUUCGUUAUGGAAGCGUGGGUGCCUCUGCCGUAACCCCCAAUUUCUUAGUUUUUGACCUCGGAUCAGGUAGGGAUACCCGCUGAACUUAAGCAUAUCAAUAAGCGGAGGA
Molecule: unclassified non-coding RNA, 341 nt
Filed under: soil metagenome
Description: partial contains 5.8S ribosomal RNA, internal transcribed spacer 2, and large subunit ribosomal RNA
Rfam family: 5.8S ribosomal RNA (bases 1-119)
Source: RNAcentral